CUCUGCUCGAGGUGCACGUAAACUGCAGCAGCCGGCGCGCCGUGAUCUUAGGAGAAAUCACGAUGUACGCAAUCAAAAUGAAGCGAUCUUUAGACAGCGAUGAUAAAUAGACACAUAUAGUCGAUAAAAAAAGAAAGAAGGAGAGAGAAAAAUUUGAAUAAUAAAAAAAUAUCACACAAUUUAUCGCGAAAGCUCUACUGAUCUUCAUACAUAUAAAACAAUAUAUUCACAAAAAGAUGUAAAAUUAUAUACGACUACAUUCUUGAAUGCUUAUCGAAAAUAUUGCAUUCUCCGAUCGUCCGUUAACUGCAAGCCGCUUCUCGCGUAACCUCGUUUUUUUCCCAGCAAAUUGAUUUCUCGAAUAAGCAGAAUAUAUAUACGCUAUGCUAGCGUGCGAGCUUUCAAAUCAGCUGUUUCGGAGCUAUCCUGCCAACUAUAAAAUAUGAUGUGGCUGAUCUCAUAUUUCGUCCUUUGCAAACCAAGAAAAAUUUGAGACUUUGGAGAGAGAAGAAUAAAGGGCAUCCCAACAUAAAUCUGAUAUCAGACUUGUCCAUCUCACGAGAUCACUUCACACCGAAAAAUAAUCCACAUUGCGCUGACACAUACCAUCCUCUUCUCGCCCCGUACACGCGUGUGUGUAUAUGCGUGAGUUGCAUUGACCGCUACUGAACUUUGAUGUGUUUCCUGCACAAAAUUCACCUCCGAAGUCAUAAAUUAGCUACCGGAGACCGAUGCGUUUCUCUUUGGCCGGCUCCCUCGAACCAGCACCAAUACCACGGCACUUCAACGAACUCAAAAGCAUCAAAAGCAAACGUAAACGUCGGACAAACCUCGCCGAUUUGCCGAUGGCAGCAGUUAUGGAAGUAUGUAAUAUAACAAAUAUUCGAUCCAGAUUGUCACCUAAUUUUUUUAACAUACCUCGUCCAUCCAUGAAAGUGAAAUGCGUUUUUUUCUUCUUAUUUUAUUUUUGCUCAUCUGAUCGUGGCGAUUAUAGCAAUAUUUACGAAUGUCAUAUAUAACUUUGCGAUCAUAUGCACGAUUGUAACAAAAAGUUAUACAAUCCAUAAAAUUUAAAUAUAUUUAAUCGCAAUCUUUAUUUUAUUACUGGUCCAUUUAUCCCUCACUAUACAUGCCAUAUGAAUGAAAUCUUAAUCUGAAAUAUAAUUUAUGAUAAAAAAUAUGGUUGUUGUAGUACGUACAAAAAAAGACAUCCCCAAAUAUAUAUAUUAAACUGAAUUCUCUCUAAAAUCAUCCUGUUUAACUGCCAUGAUCGUGUCAAUUAUUUUUGACGCGUUUUCAAAGUUGUUUCCGUUGGUCACUUUCACUUUGCUGAUCGUGGCCUAUCUUUAAAGUGCGUCGGCUGUCUCCGUUCUCAC
Molecule: long non-coding RNA, 1376 nt
Organism: Formica exsecta
Lineage: Eukaryota; Metazoa; Arthropoda; Insecta; Hymenoptera; Formicidae
Exons: 3
Source: RefSeq, a predicted model, not a curated record